Molecule: ribosomal RNA, 468 nt
Filed under: uncultured bacterium
Lineage: Bacteria
Description: partial 16S ribosomal RNA
Rfam family: Bacterial small subunit ribosomal RNA
Source: RNAcentral
GACGAACGCUGGCGGCGUGCUUAACACAUGCAAGUCGAACGGAAAGGCCCUGCUUUUGUGGGGUGCCCGAGUGGCGAACGGGCGAGUAAGAAGUGCGUAACCUGCCCUUGCCUUUGGGAUAAACUCCAGAAACUGGGGCUAAUACCGGCCAGGUGCGACUGAUGCAUGGCGGGGGUUGGAAAGUUUCGGCGGCUGGGGCUGGAGGCGGGGCUUAUAAGCUUGUUGGUGGGGUAGUGGCGUAAGUAGGCUUUGACGGGUAGCCGGCCUGGGAGGGUGACCGGGCACAUUGGGAUUGGGGUAGGACCCGGACUGCUACGGGAGGAAGCAGUGGGGGAUAGUGCACAAUGGGCGGAGGCCUGAUGCAGCAACGCCGCGUGCGGGAUGACGGCCUUCGGGUUGUAAACCGCUUUCGCCUAUUACGAAGCGGGAGUGACGGUAAUGGGUAAAGAAGCACCGGCUAACUACGUG